GCGUACGACCAUACCACGCUGAAAGCACGCCAUCCCGUCCGAUCUGGCAAGUUAAGCAACGUUGGGCCUGGUUAGUACUUGGAUCGAAAACGGCUUGGGAAUCCCAGAUGUUGUAAGCU
RNAcentral lists this ribosomal RNA (119 nucleotides) under Angiostrongylus costaricensis. The record is from RNAcentral. Lineage: Eukaryota; Metazoa; Nematoda; Chromadorea; Rhabditida; Metastrongylidae.